UGCUCUCUCUUCUCCAUUCACCGCCUUCAACUUUGGAGUUCAGAAAGAAGUGAAGAAGGGAUGACAGGCAGGAGGAAUUGGGACUUGAGCUUGCAAAAUACAUCUGUAUCAGAGGUUGCAACUGGCAUGCAUGGCACUGGUGCUACAAUUGGUGCAUGGUGUGGGCCUGUCCACUGGUACCCAUGGCCAGUCACAGCUUCACCACUCAGCUGAGGUAGUUCCAGCUCCAUCUCUUCUGGGAAUGAUGGAAUAGAGAAAAGUGGAAGAAGGGAAUCAAGGAGAAGAUAAAUGAGAAGUUGUCAGGCGGGCACAAGUAGGAAGGAGCAUACUCAAACUACUAAUCCAUGUACUAGAGGAUCAUAUGGUAUUAUUAUAGGAUAUGGAACAGCUAUAGCCAGAAAAGCGGCUUUAUGAGAAGAAAGAAAUAAAAUUGAAACGAUAAAGGAGAAGUUUUCCGGUGGUCAACACUAGGCAUUUCUGGCUUUCGUGUCAUGCCUAUGACAUUGUUAAGUAUGUGUUAAAUAACAAUAACAAUGUAUUAUAAUGUGGAUCAAAUCUUUUAUUGUGUGUGACACGUUUGCAAAUAGUGUAUAUCUUUUGCGAUAAGCAGUUUUGGAUGGUAGUCCCA
Long non-coding RNA from Daucus carota subsp. sativus, 628 nucleotides. RefSeq lists it as uncharacterized. Lineage: Eukaryota; Viridiplantae; Streptophyta; Magnoliopsida; Apiales; Apiaceae. The record is from RefSeq and is a predicted model, not a curated record. The transcript is spliced from 3 exons.